CGUUAGACAAUCUUCUGGAGGUAGAGAUACUGAAUGAUCCUCCGUGGUCUUUGGCCAGGUUGAUCAAUCAAACUCCGAAUGCCAGAAGUUAAUGUGUCUAAUAGUUAGCUCCUGGGGGCUAAGCUCCAGGCGCAAGAGGGAAACAACCCUGACCUUCGUCUAAGGUCCCAAAAUUCAAACUAAGUGCACUCAAGGAAGUCAAUUCUCACAGAUAGUUAGGAGGUUAGCUUAGAAGCAGCUAUCCUUUAAAAAGUGCGUAACAGCUUACUAAUUAAGAGAGUUGGCACCGAAGAUGUAUCGGGGCUAAAGUUUGAUACCGAAGACAAGGAUUUAAAUUGAAUUUAUUCUAAUUUAAGUGGUAGGGAAGCGUUCCAUGUGCAGCGAAGGUGAGCCGUGAGACUUGCUGGAGCGCAUGGAAGUGAGAAUGCUGGCAUGAGUAACCGCAAUUCAGAUGAAAACUCUGAACACCGAAAAUCCAAGGUUUCCUUGGCAAUGUCAAUCAGCCAAGGGUUAGUCGGUCCUAAGGCGUACCCCAAGGGGGAAGCCGAUGGACAGUUGGUUAAUAUUCCAACACUUUGCAUUAGUUUCUAAUUAUCGACGAGAUUUAGUAGUUUGGGUGUGUUAUUGAUUUCACAUUUAUGCCGUAAAGCAAUAAGCGGCGUAUGAAGUCUGGUCCUCGGAUCGGGCAACCCAAAUGAGCAAGUCUACGAGAAAAUUUAAUUAGAGUUAACUAGUGUAAAACCGUACCUUAAACCGACACAGGUGGAUUAGUGCUAGAAUACUAAGGUGUACGAGUGAAUUCUCGUUAAGGAACUUUGCAAUAAAGCGGCCGUAACUUCGGUAUAUGGCCUCCCAGCCCUGCGGCUGGGCGCAGCGACAGAAUUUCAAGCGACUGUUUAACAAAAACACAGCUCCCUGCUUAACUCGCAAGAGGAUGUAUAGGGGGUGAGGCCUGAUCAAUGCUGGAACGUUAAAGCUGUCUGUCCAUGGGACUUGAUCUCAUGGGCUGAAUGGCCCAAGCGCCAGUCAAUAUCGGCGGUAACUAUAACCGUCUAAAAGUAGCGUAGUCCCUUGUCGGGUAAGUUCCGACCCGCAUGAAUGGCUUAACGACUUGAAAACUGUCUCAACGAGAAGCUCGGUGAAAAUGCGACACCGGUGAAGACGCCGGUUUCCUGUAGCUAGACGGAAAGACCCCGGAAGCUUUACUGUAAGUUCUUAUUGUUUUAUUGUUUUUGAUGCGUAGCGUAGUGGUGAGGAUUUGAAGCUAUCUUUUCGGAGAUAGUGGAUCCGUCGAUGAAACAGCCAUCUUUAAAAAUAAUAAAACUAACCCUUCCUAAUCAGAGGGGGACAGUUGGAGCCUGGCAGUUUAAGUGGGGCGCUUGCCUCCUAAAAUGUAACGGAGGCGUUCAAAGGUUGGCUAACUCCGGAUGGAAAUCGGAGUGAUACUGUAAAGGGAAAAGCCAGCUUUACUGCAAGACGGAUAUGUCGCGCAGUUGCGAAAGCAGGACUUAGUGAACCGACGGAUUUUAGUAGAAAAUCCGAAGAUCAUCAGACAAAAGCUACUCCGGGGAUAACAGGCUGGUAGUGCCCGCGAGUUCACAUCUACGGCACUGUUCGGCACCUCGAUGUCGGCUCAACUUAUCCUGGGGCUGGAGAAGGUCCCAAGGGUUUGGCUGUUCGCCAAUUAAAAAGUUACGCGAGCUGGGUUCAGACCGUCGUGAGACAGGUCGGUCUUUAUCUGCUACGGGCGUUCGAGUUUUGAAGGGAUUUGGCGAUAGUACGAGAGGACCUCGCUGAAUUAACCUCUGGUCUGCCAGUUGUCCUAUCAAGGGCAUUGCUGGGUAGCUAUGUUGAGUGGGAUAAGCGCUGAAAGCAUCUAAGUGCGAAACCCUCCCUAAGAUUAGAACUCGUUUGAGCUCCCUUGAAGAUGACAAGGUUGAUAGGUUGCAGGUGUAAGCGCUGAGAGGCGUUGAGCUGAGCAAUACUAAUGAGCGAUACCCUUUGCU
This 2006-nucleotide ribosomal RNA is filed under the name activated sludge metagenome. RNAcentral describes it as "bacterial LSU rRNA". It matches the Rfam family "Bacterial large subunit ribosomal RNA", at positions 879 to 2925 of the family's 2925-position model. The record is from RNAcentral.